Molecule: small nucleolar RNA, 106 nt
Filed under: Nelumbo nucifera (sacred lotus)
Lineage: Eukaryota; Viridiplantae; Streptophyta; Magnoliopsida; Proteales; Nelumbonaceae
Description: Plant small nucleolar RNA R71
Rfam family: Plant small nucleolar RNA R71
About the family: R71 is a member of the C/D box family of snoRNAs containing the C (UGAUGA) and D (CUGA) box motifs. Multiple nearly identical copies of this snoRNA have been identified in Arabidopsis, and it is thought to function as a 2'-O-ribose methylation guide for 18S ribosomal RNA.
Source: Rfam by way of RNAcentral
AGACCAUGGUGAGGACACUUCCUAAGCAGUUCCUUAAAUCUCUCCCACGAUUCAUAUAAGGUUUUAUUAUCAAAUUGAGAAAAGUUGUUAUGCCAUUCCUUAAUUU